UCAGUGCAAUGAGGAUCAGAUAAGAGGUGAUAUGUUCAUAUCUUCUGGUUCUAGUUAGGACUCUAGCUGCUGUGUUCUGGACUAACUGGAGCUUGUUUAUGCUCCUACUAGAACAUCCAGACAGUAAAGUAUUACAAUAAUCCAACCUAGAGUAUCAGCUGUGAUUCACUUGGAGUAAAAAGUUGGUCAUCUCUGGUCUCAGCGCUCAGAUCAGAAACCUCCAAACUGAGAGAACUUCAUCUGACUGUGAAAACACUGAAUCUGUCUGAGAAUAAACUCGGAGACUCAGAAGUGAAGACUCUCUCUGCUGGACUGGAGAAUCCUCACUGUAAAGUGGAGACACUGAAUUUGUGUUUACACUGGAGAACAGUGUCAGAGUGGAGAUUGGACUCAUCUGAGAGCUGAAGAACAGAACUGCAGUUGGUUUAGGAGUACAUGGGGCAACACCAACACAAAGUCAUUUUAACUCCAAUUAAAACACUCAAUGCAUUUAUUUAAUUUAUUAUUUAUUUUUAUUUAUCUAAAAAUU
This is a long non-coding RNA of Tachysurus fulvidraco (yellow catfish), 529 nucleotides long. RefSeq lists it as uncharacterized. The transcript is spliced from 3 exons. The record is from RefSeq and is a predicted model, not a curated record. Lineage: Eukaryota; Metazoa; Chordata; Actinopteri; Siluriformes; Bagridae.